AGGGGUUUAGGUUAACAACCAGACCAAGGGCCUUCAAAGCCCUAAGCGAGAGUGAAAAUCUCCCAACCCCUG
This 72-nucleotide transfer RNA is filed under the name Gerres filamentosus (whipfin silverbiddy). Its description in RNAcentral is "tRNA-Trp". It matches the Rfam family "tRNA". Rfam says of the family: Transfer RNA (tRNA) molecules are approximately 80 nucleotides in length. Their secondary structure includes four short double-helical elements and three loops (D, anti-codon, and T loops). The record is from RNAcentral. Lineage: Eukaryota; Metazoa; Chordata; Actinopteri; Gerreiformes; Gerreidae.